UUUGCGUGAGUUAUGAUUUUAUGGGAGGUUCUUAUUUUUUUUAUAUCCCUCUGCCACCUCAAAAUCAUGGUCAGCAGAGGAAGCUCCAUUCCUCUUUACUUCUGAUGAAAUUUGGAGAAUCUAAAAAAUCAUAGCAAAUGUUCUAAAACGUAAGCUAUAUGUUCUAUAAAUAUGUCAGAUGCUCUAAAAUUUAUGUCAUAUUUUUAGUUUUAAAUAUUAUUAUUGUUCUAAAAAUAAGUCGAACAGAACAGAGCCUUGGUUUUAAAUACACAUUCUUUUAGUUUUUCAUAUUAUUAUUGUUUAAUUUAUUAUAUUAUUAUUAUUAUGAUUAUUGUUAUUAUUUUCUAAAAUCCAAUUAAAACCCCCUUAUUUCUUCGAUUUCCCUAUCAAUGGCGAUAUUAAAAUACCCAUUUAAAUACGAAAUUUUUCGAUCAAUCGCCUUUACUCUCCAUCAUAUUGCACUUUGUGAUUUAAUCCAAAAGCCAAAUUUCAUCCAAAUUUGUUCGAAACUACAAUUCCCCUUAGAGUUCAUCCAAACUCUAAUGGACGAAGUAGACAUCAAUUCCUUGUAUAGCUCGUUAAUGGCGAUAUCAUCCAUUGAGACAACCGAACUGGUAUCCUCAAAAAAAAAAAAAAAAACGAACUGGAGGCAUUGGAAAUUGUAAAAGGGGUUUCAUUGAAAGAGAUUGCGAAGAGAAGAAUUUAGCAACACUUCAUUUCAGAGCACAACAAAGUUGUGACGGAGGAGUUGCAAGAAGAUAUUCAAAGGGAUUGGUGUUUCAUUCACAUUCCUACUGUAGUGCUGACGGGGUGCUUGCAAAAAAUAUUCAAUGAGUCCCAAUCCUGGAAAGGCCAAGAACACCUCCUGAAUUAUUUGGUUGUCAGAAUCCGGAACAUAAGCACUCGAUAGAACAUCAUCAGACUGCACAAUCUGUGUACAAGAAUUCAGUCAUUCCUAGGCUUAAGUCCUGGGUUCCAAGGGUUGUGGAUGAGGAAGACUCCCUUGAAGUGGAGAUGGCUCGAAAACCGAGUGUAUUAAUUAAGUCUUCUAUGUAUAUGCAAACACCUUUUUUCACAAUUGUUAACAUGAGGAAUUUUGUCUUAAUCAUAUUUAUCAUGGAUUCAAUGGGUAAUGAAAAGGGUUAUUUUUUGACAUGAGUUGGGGAGAAUAGGAGUUAAACUGGUUAACUGUAAAGAAGUCGAGUGAUAAUGAUUAAUGGGGUUCUGAUUGCA
Spinacia oleracea (spinach) is the source of this 1233-nucleotide long non-coding RNA. RefSeq lists it as uncharacterized. The transcript has 4 exons. NCBI's taxonomy places the organism in Eukaryota, Viridiplantae, Streptophyta, Magnoliopsida, Caryophyllales, Amaranthaceae. The record is from RefSeq and is a predicted model, not a curated record.